Molecule: long non-coding RNA, 18332 nt
Filed under: Aquilegia coerulea
Lineage: Eukaryota; Viridiplantae; Streptophyta; Magnoliopsida; Ranunculales; Ranunculaceae
Description: long non-coding RNA (ACOE_LNC001583)
Source: RNAcentral
UCCUGGAACUAAUUAAAGACAUCCUUGUCGUGAUCAUAUGGCUUGUUCUCUAUGACCUACAAUAUAAAACAAUAACUAUUAUAGAGGAAAUAUGAAACUAAUUUAAAAAAAAACCCAACAAAGAUCCUUAAACGACCUAUUAAUCCACCGUAUUCAAUAAUAAACAAGAUUAAGAUUGAAAACUAUGUGGCAGAUAAGUUCAUUAUACCUUCUCUGUUAGAAGCACCCUUAAUUACAACUUUUGUUUUUGACUUAAAAAUAUUUCAACUCUUGCCUAGGUUUCAUAUAACUGAAUAGUUGCAAAAAAUGGAUUACACAAUCUGGUGACUCAAUUCAACAUUGAGAAAAUUGUACGGAAAAAAACUGGCGACUCAAUUCAAAAUUGAGAAAAUUACACGUAAAAAAAACUUAAUGUCAUGCUAUAUGUAUAUAAUUACAAGCAUUCAUCUAAUAAUAAAGAAUGUGUACAGUUUAAUUUUGUCGCUAACCUUACUAAUAUAAGAUGGGGUACCCGCUUCAGCAACAUCAACUGUUACAUGACCUUGACAAUGGGAUCACACUGGAAACGACAGAUAUACAGUUUAAUAAGGAUUUGUUUCUGACACGCCACAUGCAAUGUUUGACAAUCUCCCAAUUUGAGUGAAAAAAUACAAUUCAAGUACAAGUUUCAUGUAAUAUAUUUAUAAAACACAUACCUCUAUAUAGUACGCUGGUCCCAUAAGCCUUGGUGAUGCCAUUAGAUUCAUGAAGGCGGCCACAUGGCUGACAAUGAGAAUGAUCUCACCAGUAUGUGCAAUAGCAUAUUAGGUCUAUGCAAAUAAAACAAAAAGACAGAAUUUCUCACAAUAACAACUAGGAAGUAUGAAUCCACCACAUAUCAAUAGCUGAAAACAUAUCCAAAAAUACCAACAGUUAAAAAACACAUACUGUUGCCAACAGUUAAAGCCCAAGGAAUAUCGCAGAAAAAGUGAAAAAAACUAAAGUACUUAAUUAAUGCAAAUUACUUAAUAAAAGCUGUCUACCUGGAGCUCUCCAAUGCCAGGAUAUCUUCAAUCUAACUUUCCACAAGGACCUAAUCAAAACUUCAAUCUCAGAGAUGAAUCCAUUCUCGAAGAACUCACUGAAUUUUACUUGGAAGCUUCUUAUGUUGUCAAAGUAAACCUAGAUGAAGUGUCAUAUCCAGAAACAAAUUAUUAUGUGAGAAUAAAAUGGUCCAACAAACUACAACAUAGACAAGGCCUGGUAGUUCGCUGAAGGGGGAGGUCUGAAAGACUAUUGCUAUAUAUAUGUUGGGUCUCUCAGCAGCGACAAUACAUAGGGAGCAAGAGAGUUACCUGGCGCCACAAGCAGCAGUAGUCCAAAAGCUCCCAGCAGCAGUACAAGCAUUCUGCAGGUUUGGUUAGAGUGUUUCCUGGGCUUUCUGUUUAUUUGCAGCUUUGCUUGUAUGUGUACACAUGGUAUGAGUAGAAGUAGAAUAUUAGGGUGGAAUGUUAUAUAUCUCAAUCUCAAUGUGAGACAUAACUUGUAUAUAUAAUGAAAGAAGUGUGUUAGACAAGUCACUACUACUAGUAGUGUGUUAGACAAGUCACUACUAUUACAAUACUCCCCCUCAAGCUGGUGCGAAGAUAUCGCGAAGACCCAGCUUGCGAAUAAAAAUUUGAAGAUCAGUAGGACCCACUGAUUUCGUGAGAGGAUCAGCAAUUUGUGCCUUCGUCCCAACAAAGGAUGGAGACACGAUACCAGAACGAACCUUCUCUCUCAAGAAAUGCACAUCGAUCUCAAUGUGCUUUGUCUUCUCAUGAAGGACAGAAUCCGAAGCUAAGUAAAGUGCAGAUUUACUAUCACAAUGAAGAAUAGAGGAUCCAGUCUGUGUAAAACCCAACUCUCCGAGAAUAGAGCGAAGCCACAUAAUCUCACAAGUGCCUAAUGCUAAAGCACGAUACUCUGCCUCAGACAAUGACCGAGAGACAACUGAUUGCUUCUUGCUUUUCCAUGUUAUAAGAUGAUGUCCACGAAAAGCACAGAAGCCAGUAGUAGAACGACCGUCAAUGGAGCGACCAUAAUAAUCUGAGUCAGUGUAACACUCCAGGGGACCCUGUGGUCCAGAUACAUAAAACAAACCUAAGCCAGGACACGAUUUCAGGUACAUGAGAAUAUGAUCAACGCAUCCAUGUGAGACUGACAAGGUGCAUGCAUAAACUGACUCACUCUACUCACGGUAAAGGUUAUGUCCGGCCUGGUAUUAGACAAAUAGAUCAAGCGUCCAACAAGACGCUGGUAGGCUGAUGGAUCUGGUAGAGGCGCUCCGGCAUUGGCAACUAACCUGCUGUUAGGAACCAGAGGAGUAAAAGUUGGACGACAACCUAACAUCCCCGUGUCGCUCAAGAGAUCUAGAACAUACUUUUGCUGAGAUAAGGAGAUACCCUUAGGACUACGAGCAACCUCAAUGCCCAAGAAGUAGCGUAGAGGACCGAGGUCCUUGACCUCAAAGGAUUUCCCUAGGGAUUCCUUAAGUUGUACAAUGCCUGCAAUGUCAUCUCCAGUGAGAAUAAUGUCAUCCACAUACACAAGAAGAUAUAUACGACCCCCUGACUUAUUCCUGACAAAGACCGUAUGAUCAGAAUGACACCUGAAGAACCCAUGUUGAAGAAUAACCUCAGAAAAUUUACAGAACCAGGCACGCGGUGACUGCUUAAGCCCAUAUAAGGACUUACGGAGGCGACAAACCUUCCCAACAUACUCCCCGACAUGACGAAAACCUGGUGGAGGAUCCAUGUAAAUAACCUCAUCAAGAUCACCAUUAAGGAAAGCAUUCUUCACAUCUAACUGAUGAAGGGGCCAAUCAUAUGAUGCUGCAAGGGAGAUAAUGAGUCGAACAGAGUUCAACUUGGCUACGGGAGCAAAUGUAGCUCCAAAGUCCCGACCAGGAACUUGUGUAAAGCCUUUGGCAACAAGACGCGCUUUAUAUCGUUCAACUAUACCAUCGGCUAAGAACUUCACAUUAAAAACCCAUUUGCACCCAACGGUGCGUUCCUUAAGAGGUAAAGGAACCAACUCCCAAGUCUGAUUCUGCUCAAGUGCAACCAUCUCAACCUGCAUAGCUGCUAUCCAAUGAGGAUUCUCCAUAGCCUCACCUACAAUUCUAGGAAUCCGAAUUGAUGAAGUAGAAGUAACAUAUGCCUGAUAGUUAUCAGACAAGCCCUGAUAAGAGACAUACUGAGCAAUAGGAUGGUCAGUAGAAAAACCCAACCUAUUCGAAGGAUUUCGAACCCUGGGAGGAUAACGGGGUUCAGGGACAUGAACAAGGGGGUUCUUGAUGGACACAAUAUCAGUACCAUUAGUGGAAACAAUAGGAAUAUCAUUAGAAAUAACAGGAGGAACAACAAAAGGAGUAUCACUAUUAGGAAGAGGAAUGUUACCUGAAGCGGGUGGCAAGGUGUAAGGAUGAGCGUGGGAGCGACGAGUAUAAACCUGGAAGGGUUUAGGAAUAGGGGACAUCAGAGGAGUAGGAAAGACAGGUAUAGAGCAAACAGCGGAAGACUCCUCCUCCGAUGGUAACAAGUUUUCCUGCAAAGAGAUAGAAGAUCCAAAAAAGGAAACAUGCUCGGCAAAAGUAACAUCCAAGGUAUGAUAAACACGACGACUAGAGGGAUUAUAACAUCGAUAUCCCUUAGAAAGGGGAGAGUAACCAACAAAAAUACACCGAAUGGACUUGUCAUCAAGUUUAGUGCGGGAUGGACUUUUAUCAUGAACAUAACAAACACAUCCAAACACCUUGGGAAUAAUUGGGAAAAGAACACGACUAGGGUAGACAAGCUGGUGAGGGGUUUGACCAUGGAGAAUCCUACUGGGAGUGCGAUUUAAAAGAUAGGCAGCAGUAAGAACAGCAAAAUGCCAAUAGGACUGAGGGACAUGCAUUCCUCUCAACAAGCAACGAACGACACCCAUGAGACUCCUAUUUUUCCUCUCAGCAACACCAUUUUGUUCGGGUGUAUAAGGACAAGUGAGUUGCUGAAGGAUACCUUGUUGGCUAAGACGACUGACAAACUCAUUAGACACAUACUCCUUAGCAUUGUCUGAGCGAAGAGCUUUAACCACCACAUUAAACUGAGUUUUGAUGAGUUGGAGAAACUGUGUAAACAAGGGAAGAACAUCUGACUUUUGGCGAAGUAAAUAAACCCAAGUACACUUAGUGUAAUCAUCAAUAAACCUAACAUAAUACCUAUGGCCUGAUAAUGCAGUAACAGGUGAAGGACCCCAAACAUCAGAGUGAAUUAAAUCAAACAUAGCAGGUGAUCGAUGCAUUCGUGGAAUAUAAGAAUUUCUAACAUGCUUCGAUAAGGAACAAGUUUCACAAUGAAAAGUAGAAUUUUUGCAUGCUUUCAUUAAUUCCGGAAAAAGACUACACAAAUACUGGAAGUUAACAUGACCUAAUCGGGCAUGCCAGGUUUUCACAGACUCCAAACUAAACACAUAAUGUCCUGACUCGGGCAAGACGUUAACAUGCAGACUCGAAACAGUAGAAGGUGGAACCGGUGGGGGAUCACCAAAAUAGUACAACCCAUCGCGCUCAUACCCCCUGCCAAAAAUCCGCUUCGUACUCAGGUCCUGAAGAUAACAAGAAUCAGGUAAGAAUACAACAGCACAAUGAAGAGCUAUAGCAAGGCGACUAACUGAUAAAAGAUUUAGAGCAAAACGGGGAACAUGCAAUACAGACUCUAAAGUAAUUUGAGGAGACAAAUGAACAGUGCCCUUACGAGUAAUAGAGUUAUACGAGCCAUCAGCAAUGCGAACAUGAUGAGAAAAAGGGGUAUGCUUAGUCAAUAAACUAUACUCACCAGUCAUAUGCUCAUUGGCCCCUGAAUCAAGGAUCCAAGCAGGAGGUGUAGAACCAAAACUAACAUGGAAAGCAAAAGGUAUACCUAUAGCUGUAGGCAUGGUAGUAGACCCUGGUUUUCCCUCCCGGAGGAAAAAAAGAACCUCAUCUAAUCGCUGACUCAAAGAACCUGAAUCAGUAGGAACUCCCCUUGAAGCAGAACUGCUAGGAACCUCAGAAAUGGCAGCAGUACGAGGUUUACCACCACCUGAUUUUCCAGACCCCUUCUUUGGCCUAAGUUCUGGAUGUAGUUGAUAGCACGUUUGUCGAAAAUGGCCAUCAGCCCGGCAGUGAUCACAGUAUGGUCGAUUACGACCAGUAGUACAACCAGAUUGUGCAUUAGCACUAGGGGCUCCUGGCAGGCCCUGAGAAUACUGAGGUGUUGGAGGAUGAUAUUUGGCUACAAAGGCCAUCUGAUCAGCUGAAGAUGGUGUGUCAGAAACUACCAAAGGAACUGUGAUCCGUGUACGACGCUCAUGUUUCUCAAUCACUGCAUAGGCCUCCCCAAGAGUUGGAAGAGGUGUAGUGUUAAGGACUUGAGUACGAAUGGCUUCAAAGUCAGGAUGAAGACCAAUGAGAAACUGAUGAACUCUUUGUUUUUCUUCCCGUUUGUGGAUAGCAGAAGCGAUAGUUGAAGUCAUACCUAAAAUGCUAGACAAAGCGGUAUAGAUAGCAAGCUCUUCCCAACGUUUUUUCAAAUACCCAAAGUAGGUAGUAACAAACAUUGAACCCUGAGAAACUUGGCCUAAUUCACGGUACAACUCAUAUACCCGAACCUCAUUGUUCGUGGUAGCAUACAUCUCAGAUAAAGCAGCCCACAAACUCUCAACAGAAUCAUAGAAUGUGAAUAACUCGUAUAUGUCAGGUUCCAUAGAGUUAAAAAACCAACCAAGAAUCAUGCAGUUGGUCAUAAACCAAGUAGAAUAAGUUGAAUCAGCCUCAGAUGGACAAGGUAUCUUCCCUAGAACCAACCAAUCAAUCUUAUUUCUAGCACCCAAGAACAAACGAACAUAACGUGACCACGAUGAAAAAUUACGCCCAUUUAGAAGAAUGGUUGUAAUCUUCUGAGUAGACUGAAUGUUGGGUAAACCAGAGUCAGUUUCCAUAGCCUUAGUGGAUGGCAACUCAGCAGAAGACGGAAGAAACAGUGGAGGUAGUCACGGUGGGAGACGAACACCAGUUGAUACCCUUAGCAACAAGGAUGACUACCAACAAAGGAAGCUGUCUGCAGGGAUGUCCUGCUGCAGACACGGUGAAGGAAGAGCAGGGAUUACCAGCUGCUCAUAGAAGAAAGAAGCCCGAAGGCAAGGUGGUAAUGGUGAUGGUAGCGGUGGUGGUGGUGGCGGCUUGGGUUUAGGUUUUGUUGACGGUUGGGUGUUGUUUCUACAAACCUCUGAUACCAAGUAGAAGUAGAAUAUUAGGGUGGAAUGUUAUAUAUCUCAAUCUCAAUGUGAGACAUAACUUGUAUAUAUAAUGAAAGAAGUGUGUUAGACAAGUCACUACUACUAGUAGUGUGUUUGACAAGUCACUACUAGUAGUGUGUUAGACAAGUCACUACUACUAGUAGUGUGUUAGACAAGUCACUACUAUUACAAUAGUAUGUAAAGGUGGGGUUGGGAAUGGGACUCUGUAUAUACAAGGAAAUGUCUUUGGGGGUGUAAUCUGAUGAUGCAGUCCUUGCAUGCUGAUCAAAUAUUGUAAGCCUGGUUUUUCUUUAGUAAUACAUAUACUACUUUUAUCAAAAAUAAAUAAAGCUUUGUAACAACAAUCCUACUGUAACUUUGACAUGUACUUUUAAGGAGUGGUGGAAUAUUAUGUUGUCUUCUUCAAACAUAAACCUAAUAACACAUCGAUUUAUUUUUGGUCAAAUUAUUGAAAUUGAACAACGUUUGCAAAACAUUUCAAUUCUAACAAUGUAUUGCAAAACAUGACAACCAAGUGGAUUUUCUUUACACCCGAUAACAACAAUGAUUUCUCCGGUACCUGAAGCCGGUGACAUGUCUACGUGGCCUUUAAAAAUAGAUGACAUGUCAAUAAGAAAUAAGUAAAAAGACACAUCAUCCUAACAUGUGCACUGCACGUGGGGUUUUAUGCAUGUGCUCAGCACGUGUAUCUAAACAACAAAACCUAAUCGAAAUAAUCUAAGUCCAAAACAUUGUUGUCAUCUGUACCCUACCAGUCGUCUUCUUCUCCAUCUACCCUACCACUUCUCUGCAACUUAGAAGAUGGGGACUAACAACCAAUCAUCCAAAGACAAAGACAAGGACAAGGACAAAACAACAAAUGAUGAUGAUAAUUUAAAGGCAGUCGGAGAUUUUGAAAAAGCUAGUGGAACAGUGAAGGAUUUCAUCAAAGCUAUGUGUAAGUGAUCUUUAACUUUUAAAUUUGAUUCUUUUCAUAACAUGGUGGGGUUUAGAUUCGAUUCUUUAAAUAAAAUGCAAGUCUUGUACCUUCUAUAUCUAGGGUUUCUCAAAUUAGGGUUUUUUUAAAAAUUUUGGGGUUUUCAGUUAUAGUAGAAUAUUGAUGUAAUUGAUUCUAUCAAAGAUAAUAAUCCAAGAAUUACAAUAGAAUAUUGAUGUAAUUUCAUUAAUGGUAUCAUAUUUUAUUAUCAAGUUAAGGUUUUCUGUGAAUGUUUAAUGAAAAAUUGGGGGUUUCUCACUUAUAGUAUAAUAUUAAUGAAAUUGAUUACUUCAAAUACAUUAUUAAAGCAUAUUAAUAUUGUAAAGCAUGCAAUUGUAUACUUUAACUUAUGAGUUUUCAGUUAUAGUAGGUUUUAAAUUAUGUUUUUUUUUUUUUUUUUUUUUUUUUUUUUUACUUUUUAGUUCCAGAACAAACAAGAACUAUUGAAAUCAUCAUGGUGGUACAUUCAUUACAAAGCCUUACUUGCAUUAUGCCAAAGGGAAGUGUACUCAUUAUCCAAAUAUCCCUACUGGGAAGUUUACUUAUGAUAAUCUGUUGGGUGUACUAGAAAGGGAUUUGGGAUACACUAAUGUGACUAAUAUGCAUUAUGUACUUCCUUACCAAACAUUAGAAUGUGGUCUGAAGAUAAUUGUAGAUGAUGACAGUCUCAAGAAGUUGUUAAGAGGGUCUAUCUUCCAUGGAUAUAUAAUCAUAUACACUGAGCACUCUGAAGAUAAUGAAGACAAUGCAGAAAUCACUGAAGAUAGUGAAGAAAAAAGUGAUAGUGAAGAACAAAGUGGCAGUGAUGAAGACUGUGAAGAAGGAAGUGACAAUGAAAACAAUGUAGACAAUGAAGAUAUUGAUCGAGAAAGUGAACAAGGAAGUGACAGUCCAAGUGCAACUAAAAAAGAUAAACAAAAAAGAGUUGAACAAAAGAAUAACAAUGUUACACCAAACUGGUUUAACUGUGAUAAUAGAGAUUAUUUUGAAGACUGGCAUGAGAGUGGCAGUGAUUAUGAAGGAGAUGAGAGUGAGGUUGCCAGUAUUGAGAAUGUCAGUGAUGAUGAAGUUAGACAAGUUAGGAUUGAGAAACAAGCUAGCAUGGUUAGUGAAAGAAAAUAUAUGAACAAGAGGAUGGUCUGUCAAACUGGAUCGAGGCUAAAGGUAUGAAGGGAGGUAAUGAUAACAACUUCAAGGACACUGAAGAAUAUGAUGAAAAUAUUGAUUAUGACUCACCUAUAGGAUCUGAAAAAGAAGAUGAAGAAUUUGUAAGAAAGAAGGUUGCAAUUCUUCAUGUUAACACUAAGGGUGAUUGUUUUGGUUAUGUUCCAAUUGCAGGACACAAGUUUGCAACUCUGGACAAGCUGAAGAAAUGUUUAAUAGGUUAUAGUAUUGGCAAGGGGUAUGACAUUGGCUUUCCUAGGAGAAACCCUACUCAAAUGCAGGCUUGGUGCUGUAAAGGUGAGUGUCCUAGGAGAUUGUGGGCUAGUUAUGACACUGAAAACCAGUGUUUCAAGGUUAAGACAAUGAAUACAGAGCACAAGUGUAAGAAGUCUUCUAACUACACUGCAUUCACUGCACCUUUUUUGGCAAAACUCUACCAUGAUAGGAUCCUUAGUAAUCCAACAUGGAAACUUGAAGAAUUUCACGCUGAUGUUUUGGCAACUUAUCAACAAGAGGUUUCAAUUGUACAAUGUUGCAGAGCAAGAGCAAUGGUUAAAGGGGAUAUAGAGGUCACUUUGAAGAACCAUUAUACUGAGCUAUGAAUUUAUGGAGCAGAGCUUGUACAGCUGAAUCCUAAUGGUACUUUUGAAAUUACUAUUGAAGACUGCUAGAGAGUGAGCCACCUUCAGAGACAAAUCCAGCAUACUUGAAGGGUUUUUAUGUUUGUUAUGAAGCUUGUAAAGAAGGUUAGAAAAGGGGAUGCAGGCCAAUUAUAGGGGUUGGUGGAUGUUUCUUUAAAGGAUAUGUGAAAGGGGAGUUGCUUACUGCUAUUGGUAGGGAUGGGAACAAUCAAAUGUUCCCAAUUGCAUGGGCUGCAGUUAAUAAGGAGAAUGCAGAUACUUGGUCUUGAUUUCUGAAGAAAGUGUUAGCUGACUUGAACAUUUCUGAAGGGCAAUUCAAGGAAAGGGACUUACAAUCAUCAGUGAUCAACAGAAGGGGUUGGCAAAGGCUGUGAAUGAUCUGAUACCACAUGCUGAACACAGAGAAUGUGCAGGACACAUUUAUUGUAAUUUUACUAAGAGAUAGACAACUUACAGUCUAUAAGGGUAAGUUAUAUUAGGGUAAGUUAAAUUAGGGUUUAUAUUAGAGAUGGAGGACAUGGUGUGUUAAAUCUUCCAAAUGGAGAGAAAUAUAUAAGGGUAAGUUAUAUUAGGGUUUGCGGCAAUAUUUUUAUAGUGAACACUCAAGUAAUUUUUUGACAUUGGUUUUUAUGUCAUAGAUGGGGACUAAGAGAGGAAAAUAUAUCCCACCACAGGAAGAAAUGUUUAUAGACAAUGGACCUCUUGGCUCCCAAUCCUCCACUCCAGCAUCCCCUCAAAUUCCUACACAAGAAAGUGCAGCUGCAAGUGUACAGUUGAGAAGAUCUCCAAGGAAAAGAAAAAAAUCCUGAAGAACCUUCAACUCAAGAGAGUGCACUGAGGAGAAGAUCAUCAAGGAAGGAAGUACCUAUAGUUGCUGCAAAUGUUUCUAAGGAAUCUAAGGGUAAGGCACCAGCUGAAAAAAAAACCCAAAAACUCAAGAGCUGCCACCUCUACCAACUGAAAAAAAACCCAAAAACUCUUGGUGUCAAAACUAGGAGUUUUAUGAACAAGGGUGGGAUUUUUAUGGGGUGAAAGGAGCAGUUGUUUUAUGACUUUUGUAAUUGCAGACUUUUGUGUAAGGAUGUGUGGUGCAUUUUAUUGUUUUUUGUAGACUUUAGUCUGAGAAUGUGUGGUGAAAUUUUUUUUUUUUUGGAGACUAGUUUGUAUGUUGGACAAGGUCUAAUCAAUGUGAUGCGAGGACGCCUAUUGAUGAACAUGUGCAGAGCACAUGAUUCAAUUCCUACAUGAGUUUCUAUUUUGAUUCCUAUUCUUAAUAGGAUUUACUAUUACUUAGUUUCUAUUUUGUUUUAAGUUCCUAGACUAAGUAGUUUUUUUAGUUUAGUUAGGAUUAGGUUUAGGCUAUUAUAAAUAGGGGAUUGCAAACCUUAUUAAGUAGGUGAGAUUGAAGAUUUGUUUAUGUCUUGAGACAUUAAAUUCGUUUUUGUGAAGAACCCUAGUUUUUGGGUGUUCAAACCAUUUAUUUAAUUGGUGUUCUUAUUAUUGUUUGCUUCCGCCGAUAGUAUUACAUCAAAAUUGGUAUCAGAGCUUGUUUUUUCUGGGUUUAGAAGAUUAACAAUCUGUUUUUUUUCUUCUUCAAGAGCCAUUUAUUUCUUUGGAUAUUCACAAUGGUAAACCAAGGGAAUAGAAGAGGCAGACCCCCAACCAUGACCACUCGCGUUGCUCGCAUUGAAGACACCUUGACAGAGAUGAUGAAGAUGAUGUCCACGCUUGUUGUAGCUCCUCAACCACCACUGCAAACUCUUGACAACAGUUCUGCUGGUGAGAGCAAUGAGGUUGAUGAUCCUAGACCAACCCAUGAAUCAGAAAGAAGUUCUGAUGAUGAACAGCGCAGUCGACGUCCCCUCUCCCUUCCUCUUGUCUUAGAAGAUGAUUCUGAAUCACGUCAGAACCGUAUUCAUGCUUGGCUUCAUGAACGAGAUGGUGAAUUUAAAGGAAAUUGUAGUCUUAACGGUGCUAAAAAUCAGCAAGUUAGAGCUGAUAUUCGACGACCAGCACAAGUGGUGAAUCAAGGCCAUCUUAGGGGUCCACAUGUUGAUCCAGGUUGAGUACUUCCACUUAAGGUGCGAAGGCAGCAGCAGCAGCAACCACAAGAACGUGUUCUUCGUGGUCAACAACAAGAUAUUCCAAGAAGAAAUCAGCAGCAGCGAAAUCGCAGAGCCGCAUCUCCUCCCCGUUUGCUUAGGAAUCAUGCAAAUUUGCAUCCCAAUAGAGAUCUGGAGCAAAGAGAUUUCUCUCUUGUUCGACGUAGAGGUAAUAACGGGCAGAAUCAGGUCAGGAACCAUCAUAAUACUCCACCUCGUCAGCAUCGACAUGCACCCAAGCAGGCAGCUCGUGCUUAUGAUCCUCCUGAUCCGUCAGAUUCUAAUUCAAGUACUUCCCCACCUAGGCGUCCUAAUCAUAAUCAUCAUCCCCAUCAAAAUCAGCAACGCUGGAAUCAUGGCAACGAUGAAGGUAACUUUAAUCUUAACCGUUUUUUGCGAAUUCUAGAACGUAAUCAAAAUGGUGAUAUUAAACUUGAUGUUCCCGAGUUUAAUGGUAAAUUACACCCGGAUGCUUUUGUUGAUUGGCUCAAUAAGAUUGAAAAGGUUUUUUAUUACAAAAAUUUAGAGGAUCCGAAACGUGUUAAGUUGGUUGCUACUAAACUGACUGGUUAUGCGUUAGUAUGGUGGGAUGAGUUGCAAAAGAGUCGAGAAAGACAAGGUUAUAAACAAAUCACUACUUGGGACAAGAUGCUUCGUGAAUUAAAGUUUGAAUUCAUUCCUCAUGACUAUGAGUGAGAUUUAUUCAUGAGACUUCACCACUUGAAACAAAGACUUCGAAGUGUGACUGAUUAUACUGAGGAGUUCCUUUUGUUGUCUACUCGUGCUGAUUUAACAGAAACUAUGGAACAGAAGUUUGGGAGAUAUAUGGAUGGUUUGCGAAAAUCUAUUCCGCAAAAUUUAGCAUUUAAGGAUAUUUAUGAUCUUUCCGAUGCCAUUAAAUAUGCUCUUAAAGCCGAAGAAUUACACAAAGCAGUGUCUUCUAGUACUUCUACUCCGAUUGAUUCUUCUUCAAAGCAUAUUGUUACAUCAUCCGGUAUGACGUGUUAUAAUUGCAAAGAGGUUGCUCAUCGUGUUAGUGAGUGUCCUAAGAAGAAACGUGUUGGUUUAACACAAGAUGAUAAUGGUUCUAUCGAUCCACUUGCAGAAGCGGAUGGUAUUUUGACACCGGCUGAUUCAGGUUGUCCUAUGCUAUUGCUUGAGCGAUUUUGUGACAAUCCUGAACUACCUCGAGAUACUCGUCUUUUGCUUUUCGAUGAGUCCGGUUCUCCAUUGUUUGUGAUUCGCCGUUCUCUCAUUACUCCAGUUCCUGCUGAGGAUCCUAACAAAUGGCUUCGUCACAACAUUUUUCACACUCGUUGCACCUCUAUGGGUCGAUUGUGUAGUUUGAUCAUUGACAGUGGUUCGGCUGAAAAUAUAGUAUCUAGUGACAUGGUUGACAAAUUAAAAUUUAAGGUGGAGCCUCACCCCGAGCCUUUUCACGUUAAGUGGCUAAGCAAAGGUACUGAAGUAAAGGUUAAUAAGAGGUGCUUAGUUCCUUUCUCAGUUGGUAACUAUAAAGAUGAAGUGUGGUGUUCUAUUGUUCCUAUGGAUGCGUGUCAUGUGCUUUUGGGGCGACCUUGGCAAUAUGAUUUGAAGGCGUAUCAUGACGGAUACAAAAACACUUAUUCCUUUUAUUUUCAUGGUGAGAAGAUUACUUUGACUCCGUUAGCUCCAGUAAGAUCUACUCUUCCUUCCCAAUCAUCGGUUUCUUCUUCACCUCCUGUGAAGUCUAGUUUUCUUACCGGGGGACGCGAGGCAGGUAUGAUUUAUGUUCUUGUUGAUUCAUUUUUGACAAGUCCUAUUGUUAUACCUCCUGUUUUGCAACCUUUAUUGGAUAGUUAUUCUGAUGUUUGUUCUGAGCCUAUUGGUGGGGAACUACCUCCACUGAGAGAUAUUCAGCACACUAUUGAUCUUGUGCCGGGAGCUCCUCUCCCUAAUUUGCCCCAUUAUCGCAUGGCUCCUUCUGAGCAUACCGAAUUACAAUGGCAGGUGGCAGAUUUACUAGCUAAAGGUUUUGUUCGUGAAAGCAUGUCCCCUUGUGCUGUUCCCGCGCUACUCACACCCAAGAAGGAUGGAAGUUGGCGGAUGUGUGUUGAUAGCAAGGCUAUUAACAAGAUCACAGUUAAAUACCGUUUCCCAAUUCCUCGACUAAAAGAUAUGCUUGAUUCUCUACAUGGAGCUAAGGUAUUUACCAAACUCGAUUUGAGGAGCGGAUAUCAUCAAAUUCAUAUGCGUCCUGGUGACGAGUGGAAAACAGCUUUUAAAACCAAGGAUGGUUUAUUUGAAUGGUUGGUGAUGCCUUUUGGGUUGUCUAAUGCUCCAUCUACCUUCAUGCGCCUUAUGACUCAGAUUCUACGACCCUUCCUCAAUAAAUUUGUCGUUGUAUAUUUUGAUGAUAUACUUAUUUAUAGUUCUACUACGGCUGACCAUUUACAUCAUAUUGAGAAUAUAUUGGGCGUUUUGCGUUCUCAGAAGCUUUUCUUACAGCUUAAGAAAUGUUCAUUCUUGGUUGAUUUUGGUGGUCUUCUUGGGAUUUGUUGUAUCUUCUGAGGGUAUUCGAGUUGAUGACUCAAAGGUUCGCGCUAUUCUUGAUUGGCCUACUCCUACUACUACUUCUCAGGUUCGGAGUUUUCAUGGGUUGGCCACGUUUUAUCGGAGAUUCAUUUUAAAUUUCAGCAGUAUUAUGGCUCCUAUUACCUCUUGCAUGGCUGCUGGCCCUUUUGUUUGGACUCCUGCAGCUGAGAAGGCAUUUCAGCUUAUUAAAUCUACGAUGACUACCUCCAGUUUUAGCUUUGCCUGACUUUUCCCAGCUUUUUGAAGUUACUUGUGAUGCUUGUAAGCAUGGUAUUGGUGCUGUCUUAAGCCAAUGGACGACCUGUUGCCUUCUUUAGUGAGAAACUUGACGGAGCUAAACUGAGGUACUCUACUUAUGAUGUGGAGCUAUAUGCAGUUGUUCAAGCCGUUCGAUAUUGGCAUCAUUAUCUUAUUCAUAGAGAAUUUGUUUUAAAGUCUGAUCAUGAGGCUCUCCGUUACAUGAAUACUCAACAAAAGGUUAGUGAUCGUCAUUCGAAGUGGUUUUCCUUUCUCCAGCGAUAUACCUUCCAUUUACAGUUUCAAGCUGGCAAGGAUAACCAGGUGGCAGAUGCUUUGAGUCGUCGUUCUCAUAUCUUGGUUACACUCCGCACCUCUUUAUUCGGUUUCGAUGAGUUACGUGACUUAUAUGCUCAGGAUGUUUACUUUGGCUCUAUUCAUGUGGAUUGUUUGGCCCAUCAUGGGGAAGCUGGUGAUUUUCUCUUACAGGAUGGAUUUCUCUUUCGUGGUUCUCAGCUAUGUAUUCCUGUCUCGUCUCUCCAUGACCAAAUUAUGACUGAAACACAUGCUGGGGGGUUGAGUGGUCACUUUGGAGUGAUCAAAACUAUUGCCUCUAUUCGAGAGAAGUAUUUUUGGCCCACCAUGCGAAGGGAUAUCAAUAAGUUCAUUGCUCGCUGUUAUGUGUGUCAAACAGCCAAAGGCAAGCAAACCAAUGCUGGUUUAUAUACUCCUCUUCCUAUUCCUGAAAAGCCAUGGCUUGAUGUUUCUAUGGAUUUUGUUGUGGAUCUUCCUCGCACUUCUCAUGGUAUGGAUUCAAUUUUUGUGGUGGUAGAUAGAUUCUCUAAAAUGGCACAUUUUAUUCCUUGCACCCGUACUUCCGAUGCUAGCCAUAUAGCUUCCUUAUAUUUCAAAGAAGUUGUUCGUUUGCAUGGUUUACCUCGUUCUAUUACUUCUGAUCGAGAUGCUAAGUUCACUAGCUAUUUUUGGAAGACGUUAUGGAAGCAUCUGAAGUGUCAACUCCGAUUCUCUACAGCUUUUCAUCCGCAAACAGAUGGCCAAACCGAGGUUGUGAACCGUAGUUUGGGAGACUUAUUGAGAUGUCUAAUUGAUAAUACCCCUACAACGUGGGAGUUGGUCUUAUCUCAAGCAGAGUUUGCUUAUGACAACUCAGUUAAUCGCUCCACAGGUCUUUCUCCAUUCAUGAUUGUAAAUGGCAUGACUCCACGCACUACUAUGGACCUUGCUCCACUUCCUCCUACAGUUCCAGUUUGUUCUGAUGCUGAGGCUUUUGCUAAUCAGAUUCAUAACAUUCAUGAGGAUGUCCGUAAACGUUUGGAGAAAUGUUAUGCUUUAUAUAAGGCUCAUGCAGACAAACGGAGGCGUUUGGUGUAAUUUCAGGUUGGUGAUUUGGUAAUGGUCUAUUUGCGCAAAGAACGAUUACGUGAACGUUAUCCCAAGCUACAAAUGAGGCGUUUUGGACCUUUUCCUAUCGUUACGUGUUAUGGUGAUAAUAUGAAGUAGACCUUCCUUCAGAGUGGCGCAUUUCGCGGAGUUUUAAUGUUGCAGAUCUUACCCCUUUUGCUGGUGACAUUGUCCCUCCCAUUCCUUUGCCUUCUGACAUUUCUAGAUUUCCGGCUGCUGCUUCUGAUCAAGUUGAAGGUGUCGUUAAUGUGGCAUCUACGUCUACGCGUCAGGGUACUUAUGAUAGAUUCUUGGUGAAAUGGCGUAACCGUCCGUUUUCGGAGAACACAUGGCUUUCCGAUGCUAGUUUUCAACAACUAGAUCCAGAUUUCUACAGGUGUUAUAUGCAGUCGACCUCGAGGGCGAGCUUUUCACAAGCUGGGGGGAUUGAUGCGAGGACGCCUAUUGAUGAACAUGUGCAGAGCACAUGAUUCAAUUCCUACAUGAGUUUCUAUUUUGAUUCCUAUUCUUAAUAGGAUUUACUAUUACUUAGUUUCUAUUUUGUUUUAAGUUCCUAGACUAAGUAGCUUUUCUAGUUUAGUUAGGAUUAGGUUUAGGCUAUUAUAAAUAGGGGAUUGCAAACCUUAUUAAGUAGGUGAGAUUGAAGAUUUGUUUAUGUCUUGAGACAUUAAAUUCGUUUUUGUGAAGAACCCUAGUUUUUGGGUGUUCAAACCAUUUAUUUAAUUGGUGUUCUUAUUAUUGUUUGCUUCCGCCGAUAGUAUUACAUCACAAUGAAUGAAGUUGUUUCUGCAAUUUAAUUAUAUUGGAUUAUUGGACAAGGUUAUAUUGUGUUUACAGGUCAUGCCAUUGUUUGUCUUCCCAUUUCUGCACUUUUGUAUCAUGUUGAAGUAGUCAAAUUUCAUCCAUUUUGUGUUUCUAAAGUUUUUCAGGUCAUGUUAAAUCUACAGUUUUUCAGGUCAUGUUAAAUCUGCAGUUGUUCAGGUCAUAUAUUGUGUUUCUGCAGUUUUUCAGGUCAUGUUAAAGGAAGACAUUUUUUUCAGGUCAUGUUCACAAAAAGUAUGAAAAAAAGAAUUGAAGUGAAAACAAAAUCAUUUCAUUGAUCGAAAGAAAACAAAAUACAUCAUCUUCUUCAUCAUGACAAAAUAAGAAAAGUAAACAAAAUUCGACAUCUUCUUCAUCAUGAUAGACAAACAUAAUUCAUCCUGAACAUCAUCACUUACAUAAAAACAUGAAAAAAAAUACAAUAAAACCAAUAAAUACAUCUUCCUUCUACACAUCUUCAUUUUUUUUUCCAAUUCCAGUGUCUCUGCAUUUUUUUUCUCUAAUUCCUUCAAAAGCUUCCAGUUCUUCUUCUCUAAAGUUGCUAUCCUGCAUUCCAAGUUUUCAUUUUUGUGCUGCCAAUUUUCUAGUUUCUUUUCGAUGCUCAAUGGUGUUGGUGGGUCAAUCCAACGAAAGUAGUUGCAAUUGUUAUUAGGGUAUUUCCAACAACCAUAAAAUCUCCUUCCAUAAUUCUCAUUAGUAGUAGAAAUCCUUAUUACAGCUUCUUCUCUACAUACAACUUGGGGUAUGUGAAUUAAUUGAAGAAGAAGACAUAAUUGAGGAACUAGGGUUUCUAAUUUGAAAACUAGGGUUUUCAGUUUGGGGAAGAAGACAUAAUUUCGAUCUGAUAGCAAAGAAAUUGUUUUGGACCUAGGUUAUUUCGAUUGGGUUUUGUUGUUUGGAUACACGUGCUGAGCACAUGUCUAAAACCCCACGUGCAGUGCACAUGUUAGGAUGAUGUGUCUUUUUACUUAUUUUUUAUUGACAUGUCAUCUAUUUUUAAAGGCCACGUGGACAUGUCACCGGCUUCAGGUACCAGAGAAAUCAUUGUUGUUAUCGGGUGUAAAGAAAAUCUACUUGGUUGUCAUGUUCUACAAUACAUUGUUAGAAUUGAAAUGUUUUGCAAACGUUGUUGUCAAUUUCGAUAAUUUGACCAUUUAUUUUUUGUUAUCGUUAUCUUCUGUCUCUCAAUCCUCAGACCCAAGUUUUCUUAGAAUAUGGUAUCAAUCUUUCAAUUUUAAAUAGCAAAUCAAACAAAUAACCAUACAAAUUGUUUCAGAUUUUAGCAAAUCUCUCCUUCCUACUAACCUAAAAAAAUAUUUUGAAACUAAUUGAAUGGCUAAAACUGCGGGACAACGGUUUGGGAGCCGGGGGCGGCGCAGUAGGUAGACGGUAAAGUCUCACAUGAAACUGGAUUUGGGUCUACACAUGAAACGGAGACCAUAGGUGUCGAUCAGGACCUGAUGUGUGACUGGGUCCUUGUUCUUACAGUGUAGCAUUAGAUGGCUUUUUCAAUUUCAUUACGAAAAGUCAGGAUUGUGAUUAAUCUUUCACAACCUGACUCCAUUAUGUAAUCUUUCCCAUCGAUAAAGUGAAAGUUAUUAAUAAGCAAACUAGUCGUAAACCAUUUUCAAUCUUGGAUUACCCAAUUUCAUUCUAAUUCCUAACACUAUGUGAUAUGAAUAACAAUAAAAAUUCACGUUUUCUUCUUUUUUGUAAAAAUUUAAUUUUAACAUAAUCAAAUUAUAGAGAAAUCAAAGCCUUGAAUAGAUGGAAUUCAGAUUAUCUAACCUUUCAACCAAGGUUGCAACCCCUAACAGCCGAGAGAAACCGAGAAAACACCCCAGCUUGUUCCAAAUAAACAGAUUCUAUUGACCAGUCAAAAUCAAAAUCCAAACUAGGGUUUAUAUAUAUAGAUAAUUGAGAGAAACAGAGACCAAGUGGUAGGAAGCAUACAAGUAAUCGAGACAGAAGAGUAGGAAAAAGAUGAUAAAGGGUGAGAGAAAGAAUUUCAAACUCAGGGUUCAGAUCAGAUCGAGGAAGUGAGAAAGGUUGAGAUUGUGGUGAGGAGGAAGAGAGAAUCGAGGAAGUGGGUGG